This 293-nucleotide ribosomal RNA is filed under the name uncultured bacterium. RNAcentral describes it as "partial 16S ribosomal RNA". It matches the Rfam family "Bacterial small subunit ribosomal RNA", at positions 775 to 1067 of the family's 1533-position model. The record is from RNAcentral.
GGAUUAGAUACCCUGGUAGUCCACGCCGUAAACGAUGUCAACUAGCCGUUGGGCAUUCAAGAAUGUUUAGUGGCGCAGCUGACGCGAUAAGUUGACCGCCUGGGGAGUACGGUCGCAAGAUUAAAACUCAAAGGAAUUGACGGGGGCCCGCACAAGCGGUGGAGCAUGUGGUUUAAUUCGAUGCAACGCGAAGAACCUUACCUACCCUUGACAUCAUCAGAACUUUUAGAGAUAACUCGGUGCCUUCGGGAACUGAUUGACAGGUGCUGCAUGGCUGUCGUCAGCUCGUGCCG